GAUGAACGCUGGCGGCGUGCCUAAUACAUGCAAGUCGAGCGAACAGACGAGGAGCUUGCUCCUCUGACGUUAGCGGCGGACGGGUGAGUAACACGUGGAUAACCUACCUAUAAGACUGGGAUAACUUCGGGAAACCGGAGCUAAUACCGGAUAAUAUAUUGAACCGCAUGGUUCAAUAGUGAAAGACGGUUUUGCUGUCACUUAUAGAUGGAUCCGCGCCGCAUUAGCUAGUUGGUAAGGUAACGGCUUACCAAGGCAACGCUGCGUAGCCGACCUGAGAGGGUGAUCGGCCACACUGGAACUGAGACACGGUCCAGACUCCUACGGGAGGCAGCAGUAGGGAAUCGUCCGCAAUGGGCGAAAGCCUGACGGAGCAACGCCGCGUGAGUGAUGAAGGUCUUCGGAUCGUAAAACUCUGUUAUUAGGGAAGAACAAAUGUGUAAGUAACUAUGCACGUCUUGACGGUACCUAAUCAGAAAGCCACGGCUAACUACGUG
Molecule: ribosomal RNA, 497 nt
Filed under: uncultured bacterium
Lineage: Bacteria
Description: partial 16S ribosomal RNA
Rfam family: Bacterial small subunit ribosomal RNA
Source: RNAcentral